Molecule: ribosomal RNA, 429 nt
Filed under: Gemmatimonadota bacterium
Lineage: Bacteria; Pseudomonadati; Gemmatimonadota
Description: Gemmatimonadetes bacterium partial 16S ribosomal RNA
Rfam family: Bacterial small subunit ribosomal RNA
Source: RNAcentral
UAGGGAAUCUUCGGCAAUGGACGAAAGUCUGACCGAGCAACGCCGCGUGAGUGAAGAAGGUUUUCGGAUCGUAAAACUCUGUUGUUAGAGAAGAACAAGGACGUUAGUAACUGAACGUCCCCUGACGGUAUCUAACCAGAAAGCCACGGCUAACUACGUGCCAGCAGCCGCGGUAAUACGUAGGUGGCAAGCGUUGUCCGGAUUUAUUGGGCGUAAAGCGAGCGCAGGCGGUUUCUUAAGUCUGAUGUGAAAGCCCCCGGCUCAACCGGGGAGGGUCAUUGGAAACUGGGAGACUUGAGUACAGAAGAGGAGAGUGGAAUUCCAUGUGUAGCGGUGAAAUGCGUAGAUAUAUGGAGGAACACCAGUGGCGAAUGCGGCUCUCUGGUCUGUAACAGACGCUGAGGCUCGAAAGCGUGGGGAGCAAACAGG